UAGCUCAAAGGGUAAAGAAUCUGCCUGCAACGCAGAAGACCCAGGUUCGAUCCCUGG
RNAcentral lists this transfer RNA (57 nucleotides) under Bos taurus (domestic cattle). It matches the Rfam family "tRNA", at positions 8 to 63 of the family's 71-position model. Rfam says of the family: Transfer RNA (tRNA) molecules are approximately 80 nucleotides in length. Their secondary structure includes four short double-helical elements and three loops (D, anti-codon, and T loops). RNAcentral also lists the same sequence under 3 other names. The record is from Rfam by way of RNAcentral. Lineage: Eukaryota; Metazoa; Chordata; Mammalia; Artiodactyla; Bovidae.